GGGUGGGGGUGGGGGGGCGGGGGGGGGGGGGGCGAAGCUGAAAAAUGGCUCUCCCUGAAUGCAAUUAGGAGGGGGAGUGCCCCAGGGUUAACGACGCUUCCAAGAUGGACGUUUUAUUUGCAAAUAAAUGAUUGCCGCCGUGCGAUGACCUUGGGUAGCGAUCGCCCUGCUCUGCUGCAGCUGGUGCUGGGGGGGGGACACACACACACAACGUGGUGCUGGUGGGGCACCCGGUUGGCACGGCGUGGCCGGAGCUCCUUACGGAGGAGGAGGUGGCACCGAUGGGCACGGUGCUGGGUCCUUGCGGAGGAGGAGGUGGCACGGUGCUGGGUCCUUGCCUGGGAAGAGGUGGCAUGAAUCGGCACAGUGCUGGGUCCUUGAAGAGGAGGAGGUGGCACCGAUGGGCACAGUGGCACAGCGUUGGGUCCUUGCAGAGGAGGAGGUGGCACCGAUGGGCACGGAUGGGCACAGUGCUUGGUCCUUGCCCAGGAGGAGGUGGCACUGAUGGGCACGGUGGCACGGUGCUGGGUCCUUGAAGAGGAGGAGGUGGCAUGGAUGGGUAUGGUGGCACGGUGCUGGGUCCUUGCAAAGGAGGAGGUGGCACUGAUGGGCACAGUGCUGGGUCCUUGCCCAGGAAGAGGUGGCACCGAUGGGCACGGAUGGGCACAGUGCUGGGUCCUUGAAGAGGAGGAGGUGGCAUGGAUGGGUAUGGUGGCACGGUGCUGGGUCCUUGCAAAGGAGGAGGUGGCACCGAUGGGCACGGUGCUGGGUCCUUGCCCAGGAAGAGGUGGCACCGAAGGGCAUGGUGGCAUGGUGCUGGGUCCUUUUGGAGGAGGAGGUGGCACCGAUGGGCACGGUGCUGGGUCCUUGCCUAGGAAGAGGUGGCACCGAUGGGCAUGGUGGCACGGUGCUGGGUCCUUGUGGAGGAGGAGGUGGCACGGAUGGGCACAGUGCUGGGUCCUUGCCCAGGAAGAGGUGGCACUGAUGGGCACGGUGGCACGGUGCUGGGUCCUUGCAGAGGAGGAGGUGGCACUGAUGGGCACGGUGGCACGGUGCUGGGUCCUUGCGGAGGAGGCGAUGGCACAGACGCCAUCCCACCCCGGCUGCCGGUGGGAGGCCAUGGCCAAGCCUCGGCGCUGGGAGCUGCUGGUGAAUCACCGGGAUGUUAAACAGCUCGGCGUGGCUCUGGCAGGCAGCUCGCCGGCGGGCACAGCGGGCGGCACGCGCCGCCUCCCUCUCCCCGAGCGCCUGAAAACCACCCGUUGUUCCUUGGGGUGACGGGAUUUGGGGAUGCCGGGUGGGGAGAGGGAGCAUCCCCCUCCUUCCUCGCCCUGCCGGGGGCAGAGGGAACGGGAUGGGGGAUGCAGGAGCGGUCAGACACCUUCUCUCCUUCCCUCCCU
This is a long non-coding RNA of Chroicocephalus ridibundus (black-headed gull), 1400 nucleotides long. RefSeq lists it as uncharacterized. The transcript is spliced from 3 exons. Lineage: Eukaryota; Metazoa; Chordata; Aves; Charadriiformes; Laridae. The record is from RefSeq and is a predicted model, not a curated record.